RNAcentral lists this long non-coding RNA (776 nucleotides) under Nicotiana benthamiana. RNAcentral's name for it is "long non-coding RNA (NBEN_LNC040001)". Lineage: Eukaryota; Viridiplantae; Streptophyta; Magnoliopsida; Solanales; Solanaceae. The record is from RNAcentral.
UUCAAUAUUCUGACACUGCUUAAAGUAUUUGGACUCAGCUUAAUAGUAGGUAUGGGACUGUGAAUGGUACCAAAAUAUUUGAGAUUAAGCAAGAGUUAGCAUCUACCAGUCAAGGAUCUUUAGAUAUAGCAUCUUACUUCAACAAGCUGAAGAGAUUGUGGGAUGAGUUGGUUUUUAUGCGUGCAUCUCGUGGUAGCACUUGUACAUGUGCUGCCAGACUCGAGCUUCAAAAGGAGGAUGACGAAAACAAGCUGCAUCAAUUUCUCAUGGGGCUUAACGAUACAUAUGUUGGAGUUAGGGGCAACCUCCACAUGCUGCAGCCUCCCCCAUCUCUAGACAGUGCGUACAACAUUCUGCUUCAGGAUGAGAGAGAAAGACAAGUUACAUCAUCACAUUCUCAAUUCCGUAGUGACUCCAGUGCUUUCAACACUUAUUUCACCAACAAAGUCCCUGGCACACCCGCUCGUUCUAAACAGUUCAACCAAAGAGUCAGCUUUGAUCUGAACAAGACAAACUUAGUGUGUAGAUAUUGCAAGAAACCUGGUCAUAUGAUUGACAAGUGCUACAACUGCCCAUCCUAAACAAUUCAUCAAAGAGUCAGCUUUGAUCUCAACAAGACAAACUUAGUGUGUAGAUAUUGCAAGAAACCUGGACAUAUGAUUGACAAGUGCUAUAAACUCCAUGGAUUCCAACCAGACUUCAAAUUUACAAGGAGCAAGAGGACUUCAGCAAAUGUUGAGGUGCAGGGAUGUCCGAACUCUGUUGGGUCUCCAAAC